ACCAGCAGCCAUAUCACCCUGAAACUCACAACUGGCAACCCACUGAAGCUCAGCAGGUGUGAGCCUGGUCAGUACCUGGAUGGGGGACCUCCUGGGAAAAACUAAGGUUGCUGCUGGAA
RNAcentral lists this ribosomal RNA (119 nucleotides) under Lepisosteus oculatus (spotted gar). The record is from RNAcentral. Lineage: Eukaryota; Metazoa; Chordata; Actinopteri; Semionotiformes; Lepisosteidae.